CCGAGUGCGGGCCCUCGCGCCCAACCUCCCAACCCUUUGUCGAUUCAUAAUCGUUGCCUCGGGGGGCGACCCGGACCUGCUUCGGCACCCGGGAGUCCCCCAGAGGUCCAACCCAACACACUGCGUCUUUGCGUCGGAGUAUUGAAAACAAUCAAUCA
This 158-nucleotide unclassified non-coding RNA is filed under the name uncultured Devriesia. RNAcentral's name for it is "sequence contains ITS1". The record is from RNAcentral. Lineage: Eukaryota; Fungi; Ascomycota; Dothideomycetes; Mycosphaerellales; Teratosphaeriaceae.